AGACUACUAAGUUACAAUGUAAUUAAAUUUAAAAUGUCUAAUUAGAGAGUCUCAAAUUUAUUUGGUGUCCUUCCUAACGUCCCAAAAUGUAUCUCCAAAGUUUUCCCUGCAAUAAAUAUUGCAUAAUUAGCUCAGAAAAUUCAAAUUAAUUAAAAUUAGAAUUUCGGGUCAAAUUAAGCGCAAUUAUUAAAAACGGGAAAAUACCGGACAAUUAAGCAUAAUUCCCUGAUUAAUUCUAGCACAAUAAACUAAGUGAAAUCAAUAAAAUAUCGACUCAUCAAAAUAGACCACACUUAGUCUUUUGCACUCCUGGGCAAAAUCAAGACGUUAAUCAGGGAACAACUAAGAGGACAUCACGGAGGUGACAGUCUCAACAUAAAGAAAACUAAGACUCACAAGGGAACAAACAGAAUUACAGGCCUCAAGAAAUCUGGACAAAGAAAAUGAGUAGACAACAUCCAAAACAGAAUCAGAGAAAACAGAUACUCAUGAAGUCAUCCAAGCAAUUCAAGACAUGGAAAAAUGAUCAGUCAGCUCAAGAGGUGAAACAAUAGCAAUAGAACCUCACAGAUGCACACUAUCAAUGUUUCUCUCAAGUGUCUAGGAUAAACAAUGUCAACU
This 621-nucleotide long non-coding RNA is filed under the name Vigna radiata. Its description in RNAcentral is "long non-coding RNA (VRAD_LNC017638)". Lineage: Eukaryota; Viridiplantae; Streptophyta; Magnoliopsida; Fabales; Fabaceae. The record is from RNAcentral.